GGAUUUCGCGCGUAGUAAAAUAUCGUCCCGUGUUGGAAAGAAUCGGUGGGCCUGCCAAAACCCCCCAUAAUCUCCAUAAUUGACCUCGGAUCAGGUAGGGAUANCCGCUGAACUUAAGCAUAUCAAUAAGCGGAGGAAAAGAAACCAACAGGGAUUGCCUCAGUAACGGCGAGUGAAGCGGCAACAGCUCAAAUUUGAAAUCUGGUCCUUUCAGGGCCCGAGUUGUAAUUUGUAGAGGAUGUUUCGGGUGCGGCGCGGGUCUAAGUCCUUUGGAACAGGGCGUCAUAGAGGGUGAGAAUCCCGUAUGUGACCCGUGAUCAAGCCCAUGUGAAACCCCUUCGACGAGUCGAGUUGUUUGGGAAUGCAGCUCAAAAUGGGUGGUAAAUUUCAUCUAAAGCUAAAUACUGGCCAGAGACCGAUAGCGCACAAGUAGAGUGAUCGAAAGAUGAAAAGCACUUUGGAAAGAGAGUCAAAAAGUACGUGAAAUUGUUGAAAGGGAAGCGCUUGCAACCAGACCUGUCCGCAGGCGAUCAACUCCCGUUCUCGGGGGUGCACUCGUCUGUGAUCAGGCCAGCAUCGGUUCGGGCGGUCGGAUAAAGGCCUUGGGAAUGUAGCUCCUUCCGGGGAGUGUUAUAGCCCUCGGUGCAAUGCGGCCAGCCCGGACCGAGGACCGCGCCUUCGGGCUA
Molecule: ribosomal RNA, 686 nt
Filed under: uncultured fungus
Lineage: Eukaryota; Fungi
Description: eukaryotic LSU rRNA
Rfam family: Eukaryotic large subunit ribosomal RNA (bases 81-686)
Source: RNAcentral